GAGACACCCUUAUUGGGUAGUACUUGCUUCAGUGGGGCUUUGGUGCUCACUGAGUCUGCCCCCUGAAUGUGUCUCU
Molecule: non-coding RNA, 76 nt
Organism: Myotis brandtii (Brandt's bat)
Lineage: Eukaryota; Metazoa; Chordata; Mammalia; Chiroptera; Vespertilionidae
Source: Rfam